UUUAGGACCACAGGGGUGGAACAGUUGUACCCCAAACCUCCUAAUGUUUAGGAUACAACUGCUCCCCUCCUGUGGUCAGUUUCCAGUUCAGCCACCAUUUUCACACUUCUUUCCAUUUCAUUCCUAUUUCUCUACUGCUAUAGUCUCAGAUAUAAUUCAAAAGUCUGGCUUGGAGUCUAAGUACCUUUUCUAUUCUGCUACAUCAUAGUCAAGAAAAUGCUUACUGAUCCAAACACGACUGAGGUCCCUGCACCCUGAAAUCUCACUUGAGGGGCUGUCACAUAGAAAAGAGCAAAGACUUGUUCUUUGCUUCCCCCAAGAGCAGGAAUGUAAUUCUAGAUGUUGUUGGACUACAGUUCCCAUUGUCCCUGACCAUUGCCAUGAUGGAUGGGGCUGAUGGGAGUUGUAGUCCAAAACAUCUGGAGGGCAACAGGCUCAUAAUGGUUUAUGUAGAAUAUAUCAAAGAAGAUUAAGUGAGCAUAAAGCUUAUCAACAGGCCAAUUAAGAUCCAAAUGUAGCUCGAUAGCUAAUGCUAGGAAGUACAUAGCUAGCAACUUUCCUGCAACCAUUACACCUAGACUCAAGAGUCCAGAACCCCCUCACAGUUCAUUUGGCAGCUGUUCCCUUAUAAAGGCUCCUAGGUGGAAGAGAGUAGGACAUGGCAGGUGGAAGCAGCUGUGCCUUGAUGGCAAACAGUCUUCCCUCCCUUGUUUCAAGUGGUAUGAGUAUCACUUGUUGAAAAGCUAAAGGACAGAGGCAGAGUUUGUUAUAUCUUUAGCUUGCCACCAAGAACAACUGCAGCCAAAGCCAAUGAACUGCCAUUAGAUCCUGUAGUCUUCUAGGUGUUGCUGGGCUCCAUCUUCUAUCAGCCAUAGCCAGCAUAACCAACUGUCAGGCAUGAUGGAAGCUGUAGUCCAACAACAACUGAAGGACCAUAGGUUUUCCACCCUUCAUAUAUAGAUAUAUGUAUUUGAUUUUAUUUUUUCAUAUAAAUAUAUCAUCAAAGUCCCCAGAGCAAGAUGAAUGCUGUGUGAACUCAGAAGGCACACACAAGUAGCAGAACGAUGCUCUGUCAUUGCCUUUUGAUUUUUCCAUAAAGUGAAUGGAAUUCUAAUUAAGUGCAUGUCGGAGUUCAUGCACCCUCAUGUUGACUGCUCAAAUUCUGUGCAAAGCUAUAAAGUGUAUACGAGCCAUAGGUGAGGAUAAACAGGAAUAUUUACAGAGGUCAAUUCCUGAAGUCACUUUGUGACUUAUGUAAAAUCUAUUUUUUUUAACUUCAGUGUGGAAAGCUCAUAUCUUUACAGACAGCAGUAUUAUGAACAAUAAAACAGUCCUAACAACCAAACAGCACCUGUAAAUGAACGACAUUUACACAGUUCUUUUGAACUCAAGCUUAGAUGCUAUCAAUCUUAUAAAGCACAGAGCCGUUAAUUCAAUGUUUAACUAACCUUACUUUCAUCUUCUCAUAGUCUUUCCUUGUGCUAGUCUAUUCAUUGUGUAGUAAAUAAUAAAGACUACUGAGCAAUGACUACAACCCAUCUUCCCCAUAAUGACAUGUUUAUGGGGUUUGUCAAAACUCAUAAUCUGAGUCGCCUGGACGGAAUGACUUGAGGAGGAGGUGGGGUGCAGGCACUCAUGUCACAGGAAAUAAAUGCCUGAUGGUUGCUUUCCAACAGGAGAACUGUGAGCCUUGUGGAAACUUUCAUGGAGGCUGUUUCUCUGGAGGCAGGAAGAACACCCUCAAGUGAAAAACAGAAACAUUUGCAGCGGUCAGAUCACACCUCCUUCUAUGCUAAAGACAUCAAAGUUCCAGAAUAACUAGGAAAUAUUUUUUAAGAGCCAAAAAGUAUUUGGGACAAGAUUUUUGGAUUCAUCCUGGCAGUAGACUUGAAAGAACUCCACACCAGCUGUUUCCUGUUGUUUCAAAGCACAGGGUCUGAUACUGGCCUUUACUCAUCCACAUAGCUAAUAAGUGUGGACUAUGUAGUCCAUGUGGCUGGUUUUCCACAUAAUCUGCAUGAAAGUUUCAAAGGAAAGAGGUAUCUUCCUUUACCUGGGUUGUCUUCCAUCAUCUCAGUUGUAUGCUACUCUGCUGUCCGAACGGCAGAGUGAAAGGUACUUUGGACAGGCUGCCAAAUUACUAUGGUUAUAUAUUACAUUUUAAUCUCACUGUUCCUCCAAAAAGCUCAAGGUGAGAUCUUUAUUGAUACAACAACCUUUUCCAUAAUAAACUGUUGUUGCUGUUUCGCAGGUGAGAUUCAGAUGCAGACCAGGUUGAGCAGUUAAAGUGGAUUUGGCACACUUGAGCUUCCAUAAUCGGCUUCCAAUUUUGGAGGGACUUUUUGUGGUAAGGAAAGUGAUGGGAAAUGCAUUGGAAAGCAUACAAUAGAAAUGUGCCACCCCACCCACCGGGUCAAAUACAAAUGAAUGCUCAGAAAACACUUGAUCAAGAUGAGUUCUUACUAAACAGGUCAUCUGGAAGCAACCCAAGUGCCAGACAAGCAUGCUGAGGAAGUGAAAUCUGGAGAAGGAUCUCUGAAUAUUAUCUUAAACUAUGGACAGGUUUCUGCUGGAGAUGGUGGUCCUCAGCUAGCACUUUGGAAAAAAGCUAGGUGCUAGUAAAAAGUUUUAAAAACCUUGUCAUGAUAUGUUCACAGUCGUCAGAUCCAGUAAACAAUCUGAACAAUCUGGCCAUGGUAACCAGUAUCAGUUGUAGCUUCCAGAUGCUGUUCAAGGCUGGCCCCACAGCCAACACAAGAGUGGAAAUGGCAGGUAAGGGGUUCACAAGAUCCCAGCACGUUGUCUCAUUCAGGAUUUAAUGACAGGGUUCUGCAUCAUUUAAAGUUUCUGUGUGGUUUUCAAUGCCAGUCCCUCACAGAGAUUGUUGUUAGAUGUAGAGGAAUUAAAAGUACCAGGCAUGAUUUUCAUUUCCCCUGUAUCAAUGACACACCUGAAGCCACAGUAACUGUAAUCCUAUUAAAUUAAACAUAUGUAUUACAUGUACAGUUGAAAAUUCUUAUGUUUGAUUUUAUUAAAUGUUCAGCACUGGAUUUAAGCCCCAUUCCCAUAAAUUAAUGGGAGUUGGGGCUGUCAACUUAAUAAAUUAUUUUAAUCAAUUAA
Podarcis lilfordi (Lilford's wall lizard) is the source of this 3120-nucleotide non-coding RNA. The record is from the annotation of a GenBank genome assembly. Lineage: Eukaryota; Metazoa; Chordata; Lepidosauria; Squamata; Lacertidae.